GAAGAUGAUGGUUGAUGU
This 18-nucleotide non-coding RNA is filed under the name Arabidopsis thaliana (thale cress). The record is from RNAcentral. Lineage: Eukaryota; Viridiplantae; Streptophyta; Magnoliopsida; Brassicales; Brassicaceae.